UCGGGAUAGCUCAGCUGGUAGAGCAGAGGACUG
RNAcentral lists this transfer RNA (33 nucleotides) under Convolvulus arvensis. Its description in RNAcentral is "partial tRNA-Phe". Lineage: Eukaryota; Viridiplantae; Streptophyta; Magnoliopsida; Solanales; Convolvulaceae. RNAcentral also lists the same sequence under 5 other names. The record is from RNAcentral.